This 305-nucleotide ribosomal RNA is filed under the name uncultured bacterium. Its description in RNAcentral is "bacterial SSU rRNA". It matches the Rfam family "Bacterial small subunit ribosomal RNA", at positions 335 to 633 of the family's 1533-position model. The record is from RNAcentral.
UGGCCUACGGGGGGCAGCAGUAGGGAAUUUUCGUCAAUGGGCGCAAGCCUGAACGAGCAAUGCCGCGUGAGUGAGGAAGGGCUUCGGAUCGUAAAGCUCUGUUGCGGGGGAAAAAGGAAGCAGAAAGGAAAUGGGCUGCUUUUGAUGGUACCCCGCCAGAAAGUCACGGCUAACUACGUGCCAGCAGCCGCGGGAAUACGUAGGUGGCGAGCGUUAUCCGGAAUGAUUGGGCGUAAAGGGUGCGCAGGCGGCGCGUCAAGUCUGAAGUAAAAGGUACAGGCGCAACAUGAGCAGGCUUUGGAAAA